Molecule: small nucleolar RNA, 98 nt
Filed under: Hordeum vulgare subsp. vulgare (domesticated barley)
Lineage: Eukaryota; Viridiplantae; Streptophyta; Magnoliopsida; Poales; Poaceae
Description: Small nucleolar RNA Z247
Rfam family: Small nucleolar RNA Z247
About the family: Z247 is a member of the C/D class of snoRNA which contain the C (UGAUGA) and D (CUGA) box motifs.
Source: Rfam by way of RNAcentral
CAGCUUGACGAAGAUGAGGUAGUCUCGCAUAUUUUGGAAGGUUUGGAUGAAGAUUACAAUCCCUUUGUCUCUGCCAUAUCCAUGCGCGUGGAUCAAGG